Molecule: ribosomal RNA, 3195 nt
Filed under: Clostridioides difficile DA00129
Lineage: Bacteria; Bacillati; Bacillota; Clostridia; Peptostreptococcales; Peptostreptococcaceae
Description: partial 23S ribosomal RNA
Source: RNAcentral
UACUAAGAGGUACUCUAGAUACAGCAGGUGUUGAUAAGAGAAGACAAUCAAGAUCUAAAUACGGUGCGAAGAGACCUAAAGAAGCUAAAAAGUAAAAACAAUUAAUGAUUGAUUAUAGUUCGGUGCUUUAAAUAUAUAUAUAUUUACGGCAUCACGGCAUUAAAUGAUUUAUGUCGAGUACCUAUGAUUUAAGUUAAAUAAUUAAGGAGGGAAGCGAAAUGCCAAGAAAAGGUAAUAUUCCAAAAAGAGAAGUUUUACCAGAUCCUAUGUAUGGGAGUAAGGUAGUUACUAAAUUAAUAAAUAAUCUAAUGGUAGACGGAAAAAAAGGAAAGUCUCAAAGAAUAGUUUAUGAUGCUUUCGCAAUUGUUGCUGAAAAGACAGGAGAAGAAGCUUUAGAAGUAUUUAAUAAAGCAAUGGAUAAUAUAAUGCCUGUUUUAGAAGUAAAAGCAAGAAGAGUUGGUGGGGCAAACUACCAAGUGCCAAUCGAAGUUAGACCUGAAAGAAGACAAACAUUAGGUUUAAGAUGGCUAGUAAAAUAUACUAGAGCUCGUGGAGAAAAAGGAAUGGUUGAAAAGCUAGCUAAAGAGAUAAUGGACGCAGCUAACAACACUGGAGCUUCAGUUAAGAAAAAAGAAGAUACUCAUAAAAUGGCAGAAGCUAAUAAAGCAUUUGCUCAUUACAGAUGGUAGGAUAUAUAGAUAUCUUAUAAAAUUGAGGAUAUCAUAAGGAGGAUAACCAUGGCUAGAAAGUUUCCUUUGGAAAGAACUAGGAAUAUAGGAAUCAUGGCUCAUAUAGAUGCAGGAAAAACUACUACUACAGAAAGAAUCCUGUUUUAUACUGGGCAAACUCAUAAAAUAGGAGAAACUCAUGAAGGAGCUUCUCAAAUGGACUGGAUGGAGCAAGAAAAGGAAAGAGGUAUAACAAUAACUUCUGCCGCUACUACUGCUUCAUGGAAAGACCAUAGAAUAAAUAUAAUAGAUACUCCUGGACACGUGGACUUCACAGUUGAAGUUGAAAGAUCUCUAAGAGUUCUUGACGGUUCAGUUGCUGUAUUCUGUGCAAAAGGUGGGGUUGAGCCUCAAUCAGAAAAUGUAUGGAGACAAGCUGAAACUUAUGGAGUACCUAGAAUAGCUUUUGUAAAUAAAAUGGAUAUAUUAGGUGCAGAUUUCUACAAUGUUGUAAGCAUGAUGAAAUCUAGAUUAAAUUCUAAUGCAGUUCCUAUGCAAUUACCAAUAGGUAAAGAAGAUUCAUUUAUAGGGAUAAUAGACUUAUUAAAAAUGGAUGCUGUUAUAUACAAAGACGACCUAGGGGUUGAAAUGGAAGAAACAGAUAUACCAGAAGAUAUGAAAGAAUUAGCUGCUGAGUGGAGAGAAAAAUUAGUUGAAUCAGUAGCUGAAACUGAUGAAGAAUUAAUGAUGAAAUACCUUGAAGGUGAAGAACUUACUAUAGAUGAAUUAAAAGUUGCUAUAAGAAAAGCUACUAUAGCUUGUGAAAUGAACCCAGUUUUCUGUGGUACAGCUUAUAGAAACAAAGGUGUUCAGUUAGUAAUAGAUGCAGUUUUAGAUUACUUACCAGCACCAACUGAUAUACCAGCUAUAAAAGGUAUAUUAGCAGAUGGAGAAGAAGCUGAAAGACAUUCUUCUGAUGAAGAGCCAUUCUCUGCAUUAGCAUUCAAAAUAAUGACUGACCCAUUCGUUGGAAAACUAGCGUUCUUCAGAGUUUAUUCUGGAACAUUAGAAUCAGGUUCUUAUGUUUUAAAUGCAACUAAGAAUAAGAGAGAAAGAAUUGGUCGUAUAUUACAAAUGCAUGCUAAUACAAGAGAAGAAAUAACUAAAGUGUAUGCUGGAGAUAUAGCAGCAGCAGUAGGAUUAAAAGAUACUACUACUGGAGACACAUUAUGUGACCCUGCUAAUCCAAUAAUACUUGAAUCUAUGGAAUUCCCUGAGCCAGUUAUAUCUGUUGCUAUAGAACCAAGUUCUAAAGCAGCUCAAGAAAAAAUGGGUAUAGCUCUUCAAAAAUUAGCUGAAGAAGACCCAACUUUCACAGUUAAGACUGACCAAGAAACAGGACAAACUAUAAUAUCUGGUAUGGGUGAAUUACACUUAGAGAUAAUAGUAGAUAGAUUAUUAAGAGAAUUUAAAGUAGAAGCUAAAGUUGGUGCACCACAAGUUGCAUAUAGAGAGACUAUAACUCAACCAGUUGAUGUUGAAUACAAGUACUCUAAGCAAUCAGGUGGUAGAGGACAAUACGGUCACGUUAAGAUUAGAGUUGCUCCUCAAGAGCCAGGUGAAGGAUACAAAUUCACAAACAAAACUGUUGGUGGAUCAGUACCAAAAGAAUAUGUUGGUCCAGUUGACAUGGGUAUACAAGGAGCUAUGCAAUCUGGUAUAGUUGCUGGAUAUCCAGUUGUAGACGUUGCUGUUGAGUUAUAUGAUGGUUCUUACCAUGAGGUUGACUCUUCUGAGAUGGCGUUUAAGAUGGCUGGUUCAAUGGCAUUCAAAGAUGCUAUGAAGAAAGGUAAUGCAGUUCUUUUAGAGCCUUACUUCAAAGUAGAAGUUGUUACUCCAGAAGAUUACAUGGGAGAUGUUAUGGGUGACUUAAACUCAAGAAGAGGAUUAAUCCAAGGUAUGGAAGCUAGAAGUGGUGCACAAGUUAUAAAUGCAUUCGUUCCACUUUCAGAAAUGUUUGGAUACUCAACAGACCUAAGAUCUUCAACUCAAGGUCGUGCAACUUACACAAUGAUAUUCGAUCACUAUGAGCAAGUUCCAGCUUCAGUUGCUAAGAAAAUAGCUGAAGGAAAAUAAUUUAAAAAUAAUUAAUAAUAUAAAUAUAAAAAAUAAUCAGCUAGAUGAGAGAUAUCUCUCAUCUAGCACAAGAUAAAGGGAGGAAAUUCAAAAUGGCUAAAGCUAAAUACGAAAGAACAAAACCUCAUGUUAAUAUAGGGACAAUAGGACACGUAGACCACGGUAAAACUACAUUAACAGCAGCAAUAACAAAAACAUUAUAUGACAGAUAUCAAUUAGGAGAAGCAGUAGAUUUCGCAAACAUAGAUAAAGCUCCAGAAGAAAGAGAAAGAGGAAUCACAAUAUCAACAGCACACGUUGAGUAUGAAACACCAAAUAGACACUAUGCACACGUUGACUGCCCAGGACAUGCUGACUACGUUAAGAACAUGAUAACAGGAGCAGCACAAAU